Molecule: ribosomal RNA, 248 nt
Filed under: uncultured Ruminococcus sp.
Lineage: Bacteria; Bacillati; Bacillota; Clostridia; Eubacteriales; Oscillospiraceae
Description: partial 16S ribosomal RNA
Rfam family: Bacterial small subunit ribosomal RNA
Source: RNAcentral
UACGUAGGGAGCGAGCGUUGUCCGGAAUUACUGGGUGUAAAGGGAGCGUAGGCGGGAUCGCAAGUCAGAUGUGAAAUACAUAGGCUUAACCUAUGGGCUGCAUUUGAAACUGGCUGGCUGGAGUUGGCGAGAGGUAUGCGGAAUGUGCGGUGUAGCGGUGAAAUGCGUAGAUAUAAGGAAGAACACCAGUGGCGAAGGCGGCUUGCUGGACGACAACUGACGCUGAGGCGCGAAAGCGUGGGGAGCAA